UGCUUGAAGAUGACGACGCCCGUGAUAUUCCAAGUGGAAUUUUAAAAGAAUCUGAAAUCCUGACUGCUAAUCUUCUACCACUAAAAUCAAGAGAUAGGUACGAUAAAGAGUAUUCUUUAUUUUGUAAGUGGCGCAACAAUAGAGACAUAAGAAAAGUGAACGAUGAUGUUGUAUUAGUUUAUAUGUCAGAAUUGGCGAAAAAAAACCUUCCACUCUUUGGAGUAAACUUUCCAUGUUAAAAUCGUGUCUGUCAUUAAAAGAGAACAUAGACGUGAAUAGGUUUCCAAAGACUACAGUAUUUGUGAAAAGACGAAACAUUGGAUACCAACCGAAGAAAUCCAAGACUCUCACAAUGCAACAAAUCACCAAAUUCAUUCUUGAAGCUUCUGAUGAAAUUAGGCUCUUGGCAAAAACAGUUUUAAUUUUUGGUAUAUUUGGGGCUUGCCGAAGAGAUGAUAUAGUCAAUUUAAAUACAGACGACGUUGAGGAUAAUGGGCGUUUUUUAAUUGUAUUUGUUCAAAACGGCAAAACACAAAUCCCAUGUACUUUUACUAUUACCAAUGAUGGAUGUUCAUUCAAUCCAUGUGACAUCUGUCGAAAAUAUCUGUCAUUAAGGCCAAAAAAUAUCACAAAUCGAAGAUUAUUUAUAAAGUUUUGCAAUGGAAAAUGUACAAAUCAGAAUGUUGGAACGCAUACUAUCGCUGCUGUUCCACGUAGAAUAGCAAAAUUCCUUAAUCUCGAAAAUCCUGAAGACUAUACAGGGCACUGCUUUCGAAGAACGUCAGCAACAAUGCUCGUAGAAGGGGGAGGUGAUUUAUUAGCUUUAAAAAAUCAUGGAGAUUGGCGUUCUUCAACAGUUGCAGAGGACUACGUUGAACAAUCUGUAAGACGAAAGGUUGAGAUUUCCAAAAAAUUGUUCAGUGGGACCAAAGCUGAGGAGCAACAUAACAAUCAAGAGCUGGAAACAAGAACGAAUGAGGCAGAACCUGAAAUUCAACAAAACACUUCAACUGUUUCAGUACAACAACACGAACUAUUAUAUAAAGCGAUAAACAUACAAAAUAAUACCAAUUGUACUUUCACUAUAAACAUUGGAAAGCUAUAAAAUAUAGAAUUCUGAAAAGUCAAGUUACAAAAAGUCAAAGUUCUAAUUUUUUUUGCAAAUAAUAUUCACAUGAAAAAAUUAUGAAGUUCAGUUUGUUUUUUGUACACCGUUAGCCUAAUAUGUCAAUAGAAGAAUAAAAUUGAGUUUUUUUAUACUAUGUGUCAAUAAAAAGAGUUUUCAUGAUCUUGAUUUUUUUAUCGAGGUUUAUAGCCUAAUGAUUAUAAUUAUAAUACAUCUCUACACACUACAAAUUCAAAUUAAUACAAUUUACAAAUAGUCUACAUUUGCAAAAAACUUUUUUGAAAAUGUGUUUGGACAACUGUGCCAUAUGGUGCAUAGAGUUCAGGAGGGUGAGAUCGGAAAUUUCCACCCCACUUUGAGUACCCUACGACGUCUGGUUCUUGAGAUAUGAGUCAUCAAAGUUUCCCCCCCCCCUCAUAAAACAUUCUUAUCAAAUUUAUUAUUAUUAUAUAGUGAUGCCAAAAAGUUAGGCGGCUUCAUGGGUCACAUGGUGUAACCUACUCACAGCUGAUGCAAUGCAUCUAUUUAUUGUCUCUUUUGAUUUAAAAAUCAUCACCUUGCCAAGCUAGAUGACAACUCUACUUGACAACAUCAGCUGUUGGAAUGCACAAGAGACCCACAAAACCGCCCAACUUUUUGGCGUCUGCAAUACCUGUAGUGUGGCGAAAAAUAUCGUUCGCACCACGGGCAAAAAUGUUUUUCCGGCUCUAAAUCUUUUCUAGUCCUCGGCCUACGGCCUCGGACUUGAAAACCGAUUUCGGGCCGGGAAAAUCUCAUUUUCUGCUCUAGGUGCGAAAUAUACUAUUUCAACUCAUUUUAUUUAUUCAACAACAUAUAAAGUAUAAAAACAAUAAUUUCACCUGUACGGUAUAAUUUUCUGAAUUCUUUCUAAGAGGCAAAAUAUUUUAUAUUAAAUUACACGUCUUAAAUAUUUGAAAAUUAUGUCACCCACGCACCGUAGGCCUACAUUAAAUUUUAUAUAAGGAACCAUCUAGUUUACAGUAUAUAAAUGGAAUGGUCAAUAAGAUAACAGCGUAAAAUUACCUUUUUUUAGUAAGUAGAGAAUUGUGAUUUGUAUCCGCUCUUGAGUUUUAAAAUAAUAUAAUGAAGUAUUGUAUAGAAAAUGGAAAAAUUCAUUGAAAUUGAUAGAAUUUUCUUGUUUUGAAUAGAGUUUGGAUUUCUACUUGCUUUGCAAAAAUCCAAUUAAUAGUAAAUUACAGUCAAAAUGCAAUAAUAUUAUAUUAUAGUCUUGGCAUGCCUAUCAAGUAGACACUCCAGGCCAACUCCACUUUUAAAGACGAAUUAGUAGGGCUUUUUGUUUCUAAAUAACAUGUGUUUUAUAAUAUCGUCAAUAUUGACCGAUUUGGAGUGCAAUCUAGCUGGUCAGUCGAUGGACGAAUAAAAAUAGGCACCAACGAUGGAAGAAGGAAGAUCGUCAAAUGUAGUACCUUAAAUAAUUUCAACUUUCAAAUUUAUUGAAUUUUACCGGUAGUGUAUCAUAUUGGUUUUGCAUAGCAAGUCGACUAGAGUCAUUCCUACGCAUAAGAAUACUAUUUUUUGUUAACUGUUGGAUAAUUAGUGUAAAAAAAUUGAAGAUUGGCAUAUUAUGCAAUAAAAUAGAUAGUUCAAU
Molecule: long non-coding RNA, 2756 nt
Filed under: Nilaparvata lugens (brown planthopper)
Lineage: Eukaryota; Metazoa; Arthropoda; Insecta; Hemiptera; Delphacidae
Description: uncharacterized LOC120350410
Source: RNAcentral